This 857-nucleotide ribosomal RNA is filed under the name Caenorhabditis briggsae. Its description in RNAcentral is "SSU rRNA". It matches the Rfam family "Eukaryotic small subunit ribosomal RNA", at positions 90 to 958 of the family's 1831-position model. Lineage: Eukaryota; Metazoa; Nematoda; Chromadorea; Rhabditida; Rhabditidae. The record is from RNAcentral.
CGUACGGCUCAUUAGAGCAGAUAUCACCUUGUUCGGAAUCCUAAUAUGGAUAACUGCGGAAAUACUGGAGCUAAUACAUGCAACUAAACCCCAACGUAAGGCGGGGUGCAAUUAUUAGAACAGACCAAACGUUUUCGGACGUUGUUUGUUGACUCUGAAUAAAGCAGUUUACUGUCAGUUUCGACUGACUCUAUCCGAAAAGGGUGUCUGCCCUUUCAACUAGAUGGUAGUUUAUUGGACUACCAUGGUUGUUACGGGUAACGGAGAAUAAGGGUUCGACUCCGGAGAGGGAGCCUUAGAAACGGCUACCACGUCCAAGGAAGGCAGCAGGCGCGAAACUUAUCCACUGUUGAGUAUGAGAUAGUGACUAAAAAUAUAAAGACUCAUCCUUUUGGAUGAGUUAUUUCAAUGAGUUGAAUACAAAUGAUUCUUCGAGUAGCAAGGAGAGGGCAAGUCUGGUGCCAGCAGCCGCGGUAAUUCCAGCUCUCCUAGUGUAUCUCGUUAUUGCUGCGGUUAAAAAGCUCGUAGUUGGAUCUAGGUUACGUGCUGCAGUUCGCAAUUUGCGUCAACUGUAGUCGUGACUUCUAAUUUGCUGGUUUGAGGUUGGGUCCGCCCUUCAACUGCCAGCAGGUUUACCUUGAAUAAAUCAGAGUGCUCAAAACAAGUGUUUGCUUGAAUAGCUCAUCAUGGAAUAAUGAAACAGGACUUCGGUUCUUUUUGUUGGUUCUAGAACUGAUUUAAUGGUUAAGAGGGACAAACCGGGGGCAUUCGUAUCAUUACGCGAGAGGUGAAAUUCGUGGACGUAGUGAGACGCCAACCAAGUUUUUCUCCUCAAAUGGGGAGGGGCUUGUGUUCGU